Molecule: ribosomal RNA, 441 nt
Filed under: uncultured bacterium
Lineage: Bacteria
Description: partial 16S ribosomal RNA
Rfam family: Bacterial small subunit ribosomal RNA
Source: RNAcentral
CCUACGGGAGGCAACAGUGGGGGAUAUUGCACAAUGGGGGGAACCCUGAUGCAGCGACGCCGCGUGGGUGAAGGAGUAUUUCGGUAUGUAAAGCCCUAUCGGCAGGGAAGAAUUUAGACGGUACCUGACUAAGAAGCCCCGGCUAACUACGUGCCAGCAGCCGCGGUAAUACGUAGGGGGCAAGCGUUAUCCGGAUUUACUGGGUGUAAAGGGAGCGUAGACGGUUAUGUAAGUCUGGAGUGAAAGCCCGGGGCCCAACCCCGGGACUGCUUUGGAAACUGUGUAACUGGAGUACAGGAGGGGCAGGCGGAAUUCCUGGUGUAGCGGUGAAAUGCGUAGAUAUCAGGAGGAACACCGGCGGCGAAGGCGGCCUGCUGGACUGAAACUGACGUUGAGGCUCGAAAGCGUGGGGAGCAAACAGGAUUAGAUACCCGGGUAGUC